GCCUGGGUGGCUCAGUCGGUUAAGCGUCUGACUUCAGCUCAGGUCAUGAUCUCACAGUUUGUGAGUUCAAGCCCCGCAUCAGGCU
This 85-nucleotide transfer RNA is filed under the name Felis catus (domestic cat). It matches the Rfam family "tRNA". From Rfam's summary of the family: Transfer RNA (tRNA) molecules are approximately 80 nucleotides in length. Their secondary structure includes four short double-helical elements and three loops (D, anti-codon, and T loops). The record is from Rfam by way of RNAcentral. Lineage: Eukaryota; Metazoa; Chordata; Mammalia; Carnivora; Felidae.